This 128-nucleotide small nuclear RNA is filed under the name Myotis lucifugus (little brown bat). Its description in RNAcentral is "U2 spliceosomal RNA". It matches the Rfam family "U2 spliceosomal RNA". Rfam says of the family: U2 is a small nuclear RNA (snRNA) component of the spliceosome (involved in pre-mRNA splicing). Complementary binding between U2 snRNA (in an area lying towards the 5' end but 3' to hairpin I) and the branchpoint sequence (BPS) of the intron results the bulging out of an unpaired adenosine, on the BPS, which initiates a nucleophilic attack at the intronic 5' splice site, thus starting the first of two transesterification reactions that mediate splicing. The record is from Rfam by way of RNAcentral. Lineage: Eukaryota; Metazoa; Chordata; Mammalia; Chiroptera; Vespertilionidae.
AUCGCUUCUCGGCCUUUUGGCUAAGAUCAAGUGUAGUAUCUGUUCUUAUCAGUUUAAAAAACUGUGGUACAUCUAGGUACACAAUGGAAUACUACACUGUUGUGAAAAAGAAGGAACACCUACCAUUC